RNAcentral lists this ribosomal RNA (305 nucleotides) under uncultured bacterium. RNAcentral's name for it is "bacterial SSU rRNA". It matches the Rfam family "Bacterial small subunit ribosomal RNA", at positions 334 to 656 of the family's 1533-position model. The record is from RNAcentral.
UAAUCCUACGGGAGGCAGCAGUGGGGAAUAUUGCACAAUGGGGGAAACCCUGACGCAGUGACGCCGCGUAUAGGAAGAAGGUUUUCGGAUUGUAAACUAUUGUCGUGAGGGAAGAAAUUGACAGUACCUCAGGAGGAAGCUCCGGCUAACUAUGUGCCAGCAGCCGCGGUAAUACAUAGGGAGCAAGCGUUAUCCGGAUUUAUUGGGUGUAAAGGGUGCGUAGAUGGGAAAUUAAGUUAGUUGUGAAAUCCCUCGGCUUAACUGAGGAACUGCAACUAAAACUGGUUUUCUUGAGUACUGGAGAG